UGGGGAAUAUUGCACAAUGGGCGCAAGCCUGAUGCAGCCAUGCCGCGUGUAUGAAGAAGGCCUUCGGGUUGUAAAGUACUUUCAGCGGGGAGGAAGGGAGUAAAGUUAAUACCUUUGCUCAUUGACGUUACCCGCAGAAGAAGCACCGGCUAACUCCGUGCCAGCAGCCGCGGUAAUACGGAGGGUGCAAGCGUUAAUCGGAAUUACUGGGCGUAAAGCGCACGCAGGCGGUUUGUUAAGUCAGAUGUGAAAUCCCCGGGCUCAACCUGGGAACUGCAUCUGAUACUGGCAAGCUUGAGUCUCGUAGAGUGGGGUAGAAUUCCAGGUGUAGCUGUGAAAUGCGUAGAGAUCUGGAGGAAUACCGGUGGCGAAGGCGGCCCCCUGGACAAAGACUGACGCUCAGGUGCGAAAGCGUGGGGCGCAAACAGG
RNAcentral lists this ribosomal RNA (429 nucleotides) under Chloroflexota bacterium. RNAcentral's name for it is "Chloroflexi bacterium partial 16S ribosomal RNA". It matches the Rfam family "Bacterial small subunit ribosomal RNA", at positions 355 to 776 of the family's 1533-position model. The record is from RNAcentral. Lineage: Bacteria; Bacillati; Chloroflexota.